RNAcentral lists this ribosomal RNA (496 nucleotides) under uncultured bacterium. Its description in RNAcentral is "partial 16S ribosomal RNA". It matches the Rfam family "Bacterial small subunit ribosomal RNA", at positions 29 to 507 of the family's 1533-position model. The record is from RNAcentral.
AUGAACGCUGGCGGCGUGCCUAAUACAUGCAAGUCGAGCGAACAGACGAGGAGCUUGCUCCUCUGACGUUAGCGGCGGACGGGUGAGUAACACGUGGAUAACCUACCUAUAAGACUGGGAUAACUUCGGGAAACCGGAGCUAAUACCGGAUAAUAUAUUGAACCGCAUGGUUCAAUAGUGAAAGACGGUUUUGCUGUCACUUAUAGAUGGAUCCGCGCCGCAUUAGCUAGUUGGUAAGGUAACGGCUUACCAAGGCGACGAUGCGUAGCCGACCUGAGAGGGUGAUCGGCCACACUGGAACUGAGACACGGUCCAGACUCCUACGGGAGGCAGCAGUAGGGAAUCUUCCGCAAUGGGCGAAAGCCUGACGGAGCAACGCCGCGUGAGUGAUGAAGGUCUUCGGAUCGUAAAACUCUGUUAUUAGGGAAGAACAAAUGUGUAAGUAACUAUGCACGUCUUGACGGUACCUAAUCAGAAAGCCACGGCUAACCACGUG